CUUUUUCUCUUCAUUUAUAGCACUUUUCUGUUUUGCUGGUUUUUCCAUCUCUUUGUAAUGCUUUUUUUCCUAUUAUGUUGAUCUUUCUGGUUGCUAUGUUUAUCUAUGCCCAGUAUAUACUCAAGGUCUGUGGCAAGAGACACCUUAUACUCUUGGAGUGGGAGACACCUAAUUUCAACCAUGUCUGGGUUGCAGAGAUAAUCUGUCCCCCAAACCCACCAAUCAUCUUCCUAUUUCCAUGGAGUUUAGUUAGAUCACAAUAAAUAAUUGAAGUUUCUGUGCCUGCAUUUACUAAUGCCAUCACUAUCUGCAUGUUUUUCUGGGACCAAAAAAUAAAUAAUUGAAUACAGGGUCUCUGGUUCUAUCUAGGGGCCAUAGGUGUAGAAGGGUUGGUAUCCCCCAUCACGCAAGUAACUACACAAUUGCUAAUUCUUUCUCCUCACUUCAUUUGGAUACAGUGACCUGAGUCGCUAGAAGAGGCUUUUUCCUUUAGUUAAGAACUAAGAAAUCCUCCAAAUGUUAUGUUCUCACUGGAACUUGUUCAAUUAUUCUUACUCCUGCAUUUUUGGGGGGGGGGUUUGAAACUUUUGAUUUUCCUUUAGCUACUUCUGUAGCUAGAGGAGAACAUGACUAGGCUGGCAAUCAGUUUAUGCAAAUCAAACCCCAGCUCUGAUUAAAUCAUUAGACAUUUGUUUCCAGGAUGCUCAUAUGGGUCCUGAUUGAGAUGUCUGUGGGGCUGCAGCAGAAAUAGUAAGUCAAGGCCUGAAAUAGUGAUUGAGCACCUGGCGGGAAGGCAGGUCCAGCCUAAGUGUGCUUAAGUGCAUGUAAUGCACUUAAGCAACUGGAACAGGUGGAGCCAAGAUUCACUCCCUUCCCAGACCUCAUUUAAGGGUUGGCGUUGGAGGUGAUGGUGUCUUGCUGGAGAUUUCUCCCUGCCUUAGGCCUCUUGAAAGCAAUUCACCUGUGCAACCAGAACCAGGUUCCACCCCCCUCCCUAAGCCUCAUUUAAUGGCUGUCUGCUGUAAGGGAAGGCUUUCUACCUGGUGAUCCCUUCUUCUGGUGUAUUUGGCAAGUCCUGAUCCUUGGGAUGGGCUGGAUUCUGGAUGAUGCAAGGCUGUUGUGUCAGGAUGCUGCAGAAGUUGCAUCUUCUCAUCAUGGAGCUGGUGAAGUUAGUUUCCCUCUGUGCACAGAAUACAGCAUUUAUGGACAGGAAACUUUCUUUGCGUAGUGAUUUUUCUUGUUGUCUUUGGAGAGGUCAGCACUCUUAGUUCCAGGAAACUUAAAUGUAAGCAGGAGUUCAAGGAAGGAGGCAGGAAAAUCCCAUACAAGAUUCAAAUGUGUCCAAUUUUUGGUAUUUGGAAUUCUACGAUUCAAUUUCAGUGGCUAAAUAAUUCUGAGCUAUUCAUCAAAAGCUGCAGACAAGCACAGAAUCUUGUGGGAAUCUGGAAGUGGAUACAGGCAACUCCAAAUCGCUAUAUUAUUGACACCUAAUUUAGCGGAGGAUGCAGUCCUGGUAAAUGCACAAGGUCAGCCCUUAGAAGAGCAAAUAGUGUUCUCUAGAGACCUGUACAGCUAGCCAAUGUAUGUCCAAUUGUCUGCCUGUAUUUUACUCCUUGAUUGCUGUGCUGUUAUAAACUCAGAUAAAUGGUAGAAGUUUAAUAUAACUCUACAAGUAAUAAUCAUCCUGACUGUACCUAAUAAAAUAUGUAAGGACUAGAGUCCAAACCAGAAUUAUUUCUCAUUUCCAUAUGAAGUGUCUUGCUUUAGUGUAUGUGCAGUUAAUUCUUCUUGUGAACACGUGAUUGAUUUCAUUCACUACUCUGAAGGAGGUAGUGGCGUAGUUUCAGUGGCUGUAGAGAGUUUUGCUGAAAUAGCAAAUUUCAUAGGCUUUCAUGUCAUUUAGAAGGCACAACUGCCAGAUAGUUUGAAAAUGUAAUAUAACUGUAUGCAGAGUUCCUGGGAAAUGCUCGGAAGUCUUCUCUCAUUGCACUAUUGUGAUAAAACCUCUUGCUCUUCAAGUUCCUUGAGCCCAUGCAGUACUACAUUGAAUCUGAUAGGAAACUCAGUACUGGAAAGUGAAGGACAGAGGGAUGCUCUGGCCUGGAAUCUGUUCCCAUUGACAAUGGUAGAGGUCAGUCCUGCAGCCAAAAGUCCAUAAGCAAAAGCAGUUCUACCUUUGGUAUGUUGUCAGUUUUCCAUGUAGGUGAGUGGGAGAGUGGGAAAUAGAUAAGUGAUUCUGGAAAAGGAGAAACUGAGAGGAAGAGGGGAGUAAAGGGUGUUCUAAGCAUUACAACUGGGAUUUUCAGAGGGUAUUCUGAGGGAUGCUUGUCAUUCAGCUCCCCUGGACUUUUUGUCAAUGACAACCUCUAAAUUUUCAUGCGUGGCUUUUAGCUCAUGUGGCAGAUCUUACAGUUAGUGUUUGGGGGAGAAGAGGCAGAAAGCAUCUCACAUACAAUGGAGUUGCCAGGUCACAGUUUGAACCAGUAAAUGAGCACCUGAGUGAAGGGAGCUGGGGGAGCCCUGAUCCACCUUCCUCUCUCUCCCUCUUGGUAGUACUUCCGACUGUGCUUCCUGGAGCACAUAGGCACUCAGAGCCUGUGUGGUUUGUCCCCCCUCCUUUUCCAGUUCCAAAGCUGGAGAAGGCUGCAUUCCUCAGCUCACCUUCUUUUCCUCACUGUUGCUGGGAGGUGUGAGUUAAUUCCUCUUUCUUUGAUAUCUUGUUCUCUAGCGCCUGUAUCUCAAAGGCUCUGUCAUCUCCUUUGUUUGCUUUACAUCACUCUAAUGUGAAAGCUCUUAAUACUUGUCAUGGCUGCUGGCUGAGAGUCUGAUCUGAUGAGCUGUGACUUCCUGACAACCUGUGACUCAAACAGAAAAUGGGUACUUACUGGACUGGGGUUGAAGCAACUGGGAGGUAGCAGAUUGAGAUACUUUUGCAUCAGAUCUGUGCUGUAGGUCCUGAGUGUGGAUGUGAGCCCAUAGUUUCUAGGAGGCAAUUCACUCUGCAUUCAUAUUGUUUGGGUGUGUCCUGGUUUUAUCAGUAUUCUGCAUGACAUUAUGAUACAACAGGCUGUUCGGUGCAGAGACUCAGUGCACUGCAGCGCUAUGUUUGCUGUUUAGCAGUCCCAUGUGAGUUUUGACUCUCCAAGGGGAAGAUACACUGAAAUGUGGAGGCUCCUGGAAAAUGCAGCACAUGAUUUUCAAUUCAUUGGUUCAUUUUGAUUAAUUACUCUUAUUUUUUCUGUAUUAUCUCACAUUCCUUUUAAUAAACUAGCUUCUCCUAUCUCAGUUGUUUUUUUUCCUCUUCCUUCCCCCCUCCUUUCUCCCAGGGUGAGAGAGGGGAUGUCACAUGAUUAAUUCUUCAAACUGUGACAGGGUGUUGUUUUCUCUACUAGGCAAACUGAUUGAUAUUCUGUAAUAGAGAACUGGAUCAAUGAAUGUCUGAUAAAUGUGAAAAAUUUCUAUGGGAAAAGCCAACAUCAUUUCUAUUAAUGGAGGUUUUGCCUUAGAAAACUCAUUUAUUUGAAGAGGUGAAUAAACAGUGAUAAUGGUGAUUCUGUUUGGCUAGAUUAGAUUUUGAAAGGCUUUAGAGGAAACCAUACAGCUAUGGGAUAAGAGAGAAGACUGCAGCAUGGUUAAAAGUGGGAAAUAUAGAGCAGAGUCUCUUUCCAACUCAUAGAAUAGAAAGAAAUCACUAUUGGAUGAGAUCAAUGCUGAGACUUAUUCUGUUCCACAGUUUAUUAAAUGAACUUGCAAAAGGUCAA
Molecule: long non-coding RNA, 3761 nt
Organism: Numida meleagris (helmeted guineafowl)
Lineage: Eukaryota; Metazoa; Chordata; Aves; Galliformes; Numididae
Exons: 2
Source: RefSeq, a predicted model, not a curated record